This is a long non-coding RNA of Poeciliopsis prolifica (blackstripe livebearer), 1878 nucleotides long. RefSeq lists it as uncharacterized. The transcript is spliced from 3 exons. The record is from RefSeq and is a predicted model, not a curated record. Lineage: Eukaryota; Metazoa; Chordata; Actinopteri; Cyprinodontiformes; Poeciliidae.
CUUUUGCAUCAUUAAUAAAAUAAUUUCUUCUCCACACUGAAAAAAGUGAUUUUUGCGAGUGUUAAAUAUGAUCCAUAAAAAUGAGGUAAAUUUUAAUGUAUUUUUUCAGGUAGCCAAUGAUUGAAGAAAUGUUGGGUAAUUUCUACAUGUGCUACCCAUUCGUUAACAUUAAAAACUACUAGAUAGGAAAUUACAGUAAAAUCUACCCCCCAUUCUUAAGUCCGGUGCUCCAAAGUUGCGCAUGCGUCAGACCGCGUUUUUGAAAGAGAAGCGGGACAAGGAACUCUGCAUCCUCUCUGCCAUCGAACCGGGAGCUGAAGGUAAGAUAUUAAUAUAGUUGUUCUGUGAAUGAUAGCACGAAUGCAAAUUCUAAAAUUACAAAUGAUUAGAUACUUCACUUAUAUUCGAUGUGCAUCUCUGUAACAUGCCAAUACUGUACAUCAAAAUUUGAAUUUUUCCAUGGCGCCAACAUGGCCGUUAACUGUCUGGACAACAACAGGUAGUUUUAAUUUGUUCGCGGUGCUUUUGAGAUUAGCCAGCAUGCAUGACUGUUUGUUACCGCUGGUUUUAAGGUUAGAAACUAGUCUAACGCUAAAGCUGAACUUUUGCCGGUGUGGUUAAGUUAUAACGGUCGUUAAGUAUCUGCAGGUCUCUGCUCCCACGUCACGCUGCACCGAGACACAGGCACAAAUAAUUUGCUGAACAAUUCAUUAGUGUAUUUUCGCCGCACAUGAGAAGUUCCGUCUUAAAAUACUAAUAGUAAUAUGUCGCCAACAUAUGAAAUGCCUGCCGUGUUUUAUAUUGUUGACCUGUUAGCUAACAUGGCUGCUGGAGUCGCUCUCCGCCGCGGUCUGUUUAAAAACAACAUGAUUUUCUCUCCAGUUCACCUGCAUGUCUGCGUACGUGUGUCUAUGUUGUGAAAGUUUAGCGUUACUUCUCAUAGUUUUAUAAUUUUUCUUCCCAUCAAGAAACAUUCAUGUGAAGACCAUGAGAUCUGGUUUUUCAUUUAAAAUUUGAUUUUUGUCCUUUUAUGUCCUAGAUCAAGGAAGAGUUCAGACUUAUCGACAGUUUCCUUGGAGGAGACAUUCAUGCUAAAGCUUGAUGAGAACACACCAGGUCUUCUGCAGCUUAUGCUGCUAAACGAGGGGCUGCUGGUUCAAAGAUGCACCUUCUGCUGGACACUUUAAAUGACCCACAGAGCAUUGAGGAAAAAAGGGAUACAGUUGUCUGCUGCCUCAUUAACUACAGGAAUGUGAGGACCACACAGACAAAACAAUGAAGGUGAUCGUGAUGCACACAUCAUGGCUGAGGAGGAUCCAUCAGAUUGUGAUUGAGGGAAACCAAGUGAUGGAAGGAUGUGGAAGCCGAACAAAGGCAUGUGUACUGCUGAUGGGACUCAUAUUUGCCCUGAACCUGGACUAUCCAAAGCAGCUCAAGAACACAUUUGAAGCUUUUCAAAAACUUUUUUUGGAAAUUGAUGGGGCAAAACUACUGAAGAAGGUCCACAGUCUGAAGAACAAGCUCAAGGCAUACAUUUUCCGUCUUGUUCCAAGAGGAUCUUUUGUCUGGACAGAGUUUUAAGGUAGUAUAGCUUUUUUUUAUUAGUGUUCUGUUCUGUCCUCUGCUCCACACACAGACACAGACAUAUAUGUGGAUACAUAAGUACGUUGCAGCCUCUCUCAGCCCACUCCAUUGUUCUCUGAUUUCUGAAAAUGGAAAAACAAUGUAAACUGGACAGUCUGGUCAUUAACACUGACUGAAUUCUGACAAAUUUAAAAAUCACCUCUUUCCCAAUUUCGUUGUUUCUGUUAUUGUCAUUCUACCUGAAUGAGUGCAACUAUAUUAACUGAAGACUGUUGAUUUUCUGAUCUGUUUUCA